AUCAGGCGCGGUUCGAUCUCGCCGUCGCACUCAACGCCGGCGGCAAGCGCACCGAGGCCGCGGGCCAUCUGAUGGAGAUCGUCAAGCGCGACCGCAAAUGGGACGACGACGGCGCGCGCAAGAAGCUGGUACAAUUCUUCGAAGCAUGGGGACCGAACGACGACGCGACCGUGGAAGGCCGCAAGCGUCUUUCAACGAUCCU
This 202-nucleotide unclassified non-coding RNA is filed under the name Hevea brasiliensis (rubber tree). Lineage: Eukaryota; Viridiplantae; Streptophyta; Magnoliopsida; Malpighiales; Euphorbiaceae. The record is from RNAcentral.